This 459-nucleotide ribosomal RNA is filed under the name uncultured bacterium. RNAcentral describes it as "partial 16S ribosomal RNA". It matches the Rfam family "Bacterial small subunit ribosomal RNA", at positions 338 to 795 of the family's 1533-position model. The record is from RNAcentral.
CCUACGGGAGGCAGCAGUGAGGAAUAUUGGUCAAUGGGCGCGAGCCUGAACCAGCCAAGUCGCGUGAGGGAAGAAGGUCCUAUGGAUUGUAAACCUCUUUUGUCGGGGAGCAAAAGCCGCCACGCGUGGCGUUCCGAGAGUACCCGAAGAAAAAGCAUCGGCUAACUCCGUGCCAGCAGCCGCGGUAAUACGGAGGAUGCGAGCGUUAUCCGGAUUUAUUGGGUUUAAAGGGUGCGAAGGCGGAUGGGAAAGUCAGCGGUAAAAUUGAGGGGCUCAACCCCGUCGGGCCGUUGAAACUGGUUGUCUUGAGUGAGCGAGAAGUAUGCGGAAUGCGUGGUGUAGCGGUGAAAUGCAUAGAUAUCACGCAGAACUCCGAUUGCGAAGGCAGCAUACCGGCGCUCAACUGACGCUCAUGCACGAAAGUGUGGGUAUCGAACAGGAUUAGAUACCCGAGUAGUC